UGGCGGCACUAGCGCGGUGGUCCCACCUGACCCCAUGCCGAACUCAGAAGUGAAACGCCGUAGCGCCGAUGGUAGUGUGGGGUUUCCCCAUGUGAGAGUAGGGAACUGCCAGGCA
Molecule: ribosomal RNA, 115 nt
Filed under: Klebsiella pneumoniae
Lineage: Bacteria; Pseudomonadati; Pseudomonadota; Gammaproteobacteria; Enterobacterales; Enterobacteriaceae
Also listed under: 1 other name
Source: RNAcentral